CCUUUUGGCGAGGGCGGUGAGGGGUUGUUUACUGGGUCUGCAAAGCCUCACUGUGGGUUGCAGCUGGGGGGUGGAUUUGGGACCAAAGUCUGCACCCACAACCCUGAACCUCUGGAUCCUGUGCAAAGGCAAGGUGUGUGGAAUAAACACCUGCUGUGCACCCAGCUGGACUCUACAGCACCUACUGUGUAUUCACACUCCUGCAGGAACCCGUGUUCUUAAAGAUGAAUAAUGCUCCGCCCCCCGUGCCGGGUCUUCUGGGGAUGAGCCACAGCCUGGAGGAGCUGAGGAGGCCACAUCACAUGAGGAAGCUUUACUGUUUCCCCUUCUCCUGAAAUGUGUCUGGGAUGGAGAGUGUGGAGAGUGGGCCCACCUUUAUCUGGGUCCACUCAGGCUGCUGCAGAGACUACCCCAGACUGGGUGGCUGAUAGACAAGACAUUCAUUUUCCACACUUCCUGAGACUGGGAAGUCUGAGAUGAAGAAACCUAGAAGCAAGGAAGCUGCCACCAUGAUGCAGCGGGGAGUCCGAGGCCCUGGGAGGUCAUAUGACUCAUUCAAGGUCAUCCUGCUGUGGCAGAGAUGCGAUGAAGCCCUGGCUUUUGGUAUUGGAGCCUGAUGGUCACCAAAGCAAUUCCUGAAUCUGGCCAUUAGACCCAUCACCAGGGAGGUGACUUUUCUCUCUGUACUGAACAAACAGUCCUGUUAGGGGCAGCCCAGGCUGGGUUAAUGGCUGAAGGGAAUGCCAGGACUGAGGUUUGGGGAUCGCAGUGUCCUUGGGAGCUAUGAAAUCUUGGCUGAGUCUGCCUGAAAAGAUGACAACCCGGUUACACUCCUGCCAUCUCUCCGGUCUGGGCAAAUAAGGGCCUUCUUGGCAGCCAACCUCGAAGCACCACAUCGGGCUUUGAAAUGUGCGGGGCCUUUGAGAUUCAGCGCAUCUGAAUCUGAAUUUAUGCCGUCUCACUUGCUGGAAUCUACUGAUCUGUCCACUGUUCCUGGAAGAAAUACUUUGUUUUCAUGUGCCAGUUGCCUUUCCAGCCUGACUGUCAGCCCAAGGUCGCAGGAGAAGAUCUGAUUGCAUGUCCUUGAUUUUGCUGCUCCCAUUCCGAGAACCAGCUUCCUCCUCUGGAAGGUCGACUGAGGGGGGCUUGACUGGACUUGGCUCAAGGCUGCAAGUGGUCCAUGUCUGCUCUGUGUGUCUUUCAUCCUCCCCAACCAGUUAGAAAAUGUGAUAUCCUCUUCUACGAUGAUGAUGGAAAUACAAAAUUGGUGAGUAGAAAUAUAUGAUGCGUCUUACGUCAGUGCUCAGCAUUGGCACUCUGUCAUUUCUGCCUACUUUUCAUCAGCCCAUGCAAGUCACAUGGCUAAACUGAACGUAAGUGGGAUAGGAAAGGUCCCUUGUCUUAUAGGAGGAGCAAGUGCAAAAUCAUAUGGCUAAGGACAAGGACACCGGAAGGGGUAAAGACUUGCACAAUGAGCAAAUUACAGUGGCAUUCUUUGCUUCUCUCUGAUUCUAAUGAAAAGGAUUCCAUCAGAAAUGAUUGUGUAUCUCAGCUUGAAUAAUUAUAUAUACAAUACACACACACACAUAUACAUGUACAGGUGUAUACACACACACACAUAAUGUAUAUGUAAAUAUAUAUGUAAAAAUUCAAACUAAGGAAGUUCCAUGUUGUCUCAGUUUAUGAAGAGUUUUUAAUCAGGAAUCAUAGUUGAAUUUUUAUCAACUACCUUCCCAGAAUAUAUGGAGAAUUAUAUGGUUUUCUUAGUGAUGAUGGAUAUUGUGAAUUAUAUUAAUUGAUCCACUCACAGAGAGCCAUCCUUGCAUUAUGGAAUAAUGGUGGUGGCAUAUUAUCCUUUUAAAACACAUUUGUGUUCUCUUGGCUAGUAUUAUUUUUUAGAAUUUUGCAUUUACACUGUCUUAAAGACAGGACUAUAGUUUAUUGGUGGUGCUCUUUUUUUGGAUUUUGCUUUUGCCGUUAUACUGGAUUCUUUGAUUCAUUUAAAAGUCCUUUCCCACUCUCCAUGGUGUUUGGGAAUACUUUAAAUAGCAUUGCAGGUAUCUGUUUCUUGAACUUGUGAUAGAUUUUACCUGGGAAGCUGUCUGGGUCUGGUACUUUAGUGGAUAGUGGCUCUUUGACAACAUUCCCAAUUUCCUCUCUGGUAACUGGACUGUUUAGAUUUCCUAUCUAUUACAAAAUUAGUUUUCAUCAUUUAUAUCUCUAGAAAAUCACCCAUUUUGUUCAUGUUUCAAACCUGUUUUCAAAACCGAGUAAUGUUAUCAUUCUUUGAAUUUCCUCUCUAUGUGGUUAUUUCCCCAUUUUCAUUUCUAAUGAUAUGUGUUUGUGCUUUGUUUCUUGAAUAGUUUCGCUAGAGAUUUAUUUGUUUCGUUUUUCACAGAUAGGUUCAAGGUCCAGUUCUAGCUUUGACUCCCUGAAUGGCCUGUGUAUACUCUGCCCUUUUGAAACCUCAGGGAAGUGUCCAGACUCCUGAUCUCAGCACAUAAACCUUUCAUCUGGCCCUUGGUGUUGGUCUUGCUGAACUCUUUGCAAAUUUAUCCAAUUCCAAUGUUUCCUUCGGCCUUCAGACCCUUGGAUGUUCUGUUCCUGGUGCCUGAAAUGCCUGUCCUUUCUCUCAACCCCCACUCAUCAAACUCCUACUCAUCCUUAUGGACUUAGCCCUGAUGCCCUUUUUCCUAGAUAUGCGGGUUUCUGCUGCCCUGUCUCAGCAGGGUCCUCCACCUCUGGGCUCCUCUCCCAACUGCUGAGCAUGUCUGCUCACUUGUCUGAUUGACCCACUGGAUGUGAGAGCUUUGAAAGAGGAGGUCUGCAGUCUCCAGCAUUGUACCCCCAGCUCCCAGCAUGGGGCCUGGCAAUGAAUCGCAGGCAGGCAGCGUUUGUGGAAGAAAGACAGGAAGGCUGUAGAUACAAACUAUACAACAAACACAUCCGGGAUUCUCACAGGGAUUUUCCCUGUUGGCAUACACUCUGCUCCCAGCCCUCCUGGGAACAGCUGAAAUCCGGGGCUGUAAUUCUUACACCAGUUAUAUUGAAAUAUUCGAUGUCUAGAGAACAGCGUUUGCUCAGCGCUUGGCUUAGGGGCUGUCAGCACCCCUGCUCACAUGCUUCCGCACUUCUGAAGCUGCAUUUGUCAGCUCCAGCUCACAGGCCUGGCUCUUACGUGGGGAGCCUUGCUUGUUGCUACAGCAGACUUUCCUGAUGGACCCCUGGGGCUGCCACAUUUCCUGGCCUUCCAUCAAAUCCAACACAUAUUUUUAAAACACCUACUUUGCACCCCGCGCUCUGCUAUAACAUGGUGUCCUCCCUGCUGAGGGGACACUGAGGGGAGAGGAGUGGGCUGGAGGACAGAGUGUAAGUAUAGGGGAGAGACUGCUGUGGCUGCAGAGACCAGUCAGGGUAGGACCUGGGCCUGGGCCUUCUCUCCUGACUCAUCUUGAGCUAAUCCUUGAUGCUUGGCCUUCAUGGUUGUUUCACCCCAUUCCUUCUGAUGGGUGAUUCCCAGGCCUUACUGAUCACUCAUUAUUAUGAAUACUUCUCUUCAAGCCACAGAGGGCAAGUUGGCCUUUAGCCUAAGGGAAAUGGAGAUGCAUCAAAGGGUUCUUUGCGGGGAGUAAGAGGAUCAGAUUUGGGUUUAGGAAGAUCACACUGGCUGCUGAUGGAGAGAGGGUUGGAGGAGGGAUGGAGGAGGCAGGGAGACACCAGGCCGCCUCAGUCUUCUCUAGGAGAGACAUUGACAGCCUGCAGCACGGUGGGGCAGCAGGGAGAGAGGAGGGGAGGGAUUCAAAGGGUGACUGGGAUGGAUGCCCCAUUCCUGGUGGGUAGUGAGUGCAGAGGGAGAGGGAGGCAUCAAGGCUGACACUGAAGGGGGCUGGGGAGGAGAUGGACCCCCGCAGAGGUAAGGAAUGUUUUGGUGAACACUGGCCUCCUCCAAGGAUGCUUGCCUGCCUCACAUUUUCUGAAAGCCAUAGCUACCAAAUACAUAGUAAUUUUCCUCGAUACUGGGAAGUAAAAGGGACAUCUUCCCCAUAUCUAGGUUACGAAUGUCACAUCUUCUGUGCUGUAGAUCCAUGAAGGCCAGGGCCAUUUGUGAGCACAGAACCCAAGUUUCCUUUGUACCGUGACCCAACCUACAUCUGCUAAGUUCCUCCUGGUGACUGGCUUAGGCAGCAUCUUCACACUCCAGCAAUCCCAUUAGUAAACUUCCUUGGGGGUAUGGUACUCUCUGAUACGUGGAGAGAGAUAGACAGAGAGAGUGCUCUGAAAUCACAGAAGACAGAGUAUCCAGACCGGGGGAGGGGAGCGAGGCUUUAUAGAGGUCUUGUCAUAUGUGUACAAGUGUGCCAAGGAGAUGGGGGAUGAAGAAAGAGCAUUCUACAGAUGGAAAAACAGGAGCUCAAGCACAGAGUGGGUCCAGAGAACAUGGAGAGGGUAGAAAGGGAAUGACUGGAGAUGAGAUUGAACCAGAGGCUGUGGAAAGAUCAUCAAGGGCUAGAAUGCCACACUCCAGAGGUUGAACUUACCUUCAAAGCAUAAAUCAGUUUCCUUUUGUAUGUCAUCUUCAUCUGAUUGAUAGUGGUUGCCCGGAUCUCGUGCUAAGGAGGAUUCUGCUGUGGAUUCAGGGGGGAAGAGCGACACAAUCCCUAGUGAUGCCUGCUCUGGCUUCAGGAGCGGAGCUGGCAGUCUGUGUGUGGGGAUCUGCCAUCUCUGUCGUAAGAGAUGAAGAGCCACUGGAGGGAGGUGGAGGGUGGGGUUGAGGAGUGAGAGCUAAGAAUGUGCAUUGGAGAAGAUCAGCUGGAAGUUCUGGGGAGCAUGAGUUGCUGGAAGGACAGACUAAGGCCAUGCUGCCAAUGAGCCAGCAGUGAAUUUUAAAAUAUCCAAGGAACGAAUGAACUACCAAGUGUCUGCAAAGCGAAGGGUAGACCUUAUUGUAGCUGCUUCUGUAAUGAGGGCGUGCAGGAGGAAUAAAGAAUUUCAGCACAAACACUGUCAGUCUCCCUCUCCCCUUCAGCAAAAAUACCCAGGGUAAAAAAAGACACACACACACACACACACAUACACACAAAGCAAUGACCCCACAGAGGGGCACUUUCUCCCUCUCCUUCCCUGCUCCCUGUGAAGUCAGUGCAUAAUUACCGGAAAGCAUUUUUGACUGAAUUUUAGAUGAGCAUUUUGACAAAAUAUAAUAUUGGAAACAAUCUUUAUCAAACAUUCAUGUGUCGUGUGAGAGAUAAAGCCCAGAAUCCAUAAUUCAUAUGGCGUGUGUAUUACCAAGUGUGCAUGAGAGGCUGAAUUUCAAUGAGGCAGCCUGAACAAUAUUUUCUGCCAGACGCAGGCUUUCAUCAUUUACAUUAUUCACUAGGUUUUCCAGAACAGUAAAUCUUAAAUAUAUAUUUGUGUUGGGAAGAGCUCUUGUGCGUGUCUGUGUACACACAGAGGGACGCACACCCGUUUGGGCCCAGAAUUGGCGGAUGCACGUUCCAGCUGGAAGGGCACGCGGUGACAGCAGGGAGGCUCGGCACACAGGGUUCCUUCUGGAGGACAGCCCACGUCACCAUGGACUCCACGGCUCGCUGCACAGGCAUUAAAUCCACCCACCCUGUCGUCUCUUUCUUCAGACCCAUCCAGCAUCUCACUUGGAACCUUAAAAGGAAACAGGACCCAGAGCAAGGGCAUUGCCAUUGAGGCCUAAGAGCAGGGCUACUCAAAGUUCAUUGGCUGGACUGGUCAGGCAGGAAUUGUCCGUAUGGCUAGAGUUCAAGAUUGGAAUGAACUUAAAUUCCUUCAACAACAGCUUCAACCAUUGGUGGGACAGUCUCUGCAUGCAGACCUUAGAGGUGGGGAGCUCAACCCCUUCAGAGAGUGAUGCGAGUCUAUCUCCUGUGAGUCAGAUGGCUCAAAGGGUCUUCCUUCGAUUGAGGUGAAAUUUGUCUUAUAAUUAUUGCCCACAGUGGCUGGGCUGGCCCAUGGGAUCCCGCAGAACCAGUAUGCUUCCCAGAGCACAGGAUGGCCCUUCAGAACUCUGAGCACUGCAUCACGCCCCUGGAACCUUCUUUUUCCUGGCCUUUGUUCCGCUGGCUUAUCCUCACCUGGCUUAUGAGGUGGGUGCAGACAUGCACCACCCAGACUCUCCUCAGGACAGAGGAGCUGGUUCUCCCGCUGCCAAGAGUGUUGCCUGUAAACAGCUCAUGCUGCCCCCCUUAGAGGUUGGGGCUCCCUCGUCCAGCCAAGGGCCUCUGGGUCCCCCAUCAAAGCAGCCAUGAGCGGAUGUCCCAAAUGACCUCCACUCCAAGAGGCAAGUAAUAUUGAUGAUUCCAGAACCCUAAAUAAUGCUGAGACUGGUCCAGGUAAAACACUACUCCCUUUCACCUAAAAAGAAAAGCCGCUUUAGUUUUCGGUCUGUCUCCUUUGUCAGGACCAAGGAGUCUCUCCCUAGGGCUUUACAGGAUGGAUAGAAUGUGCUGGGAGAUAGCAUGAGAAAAAGAUUGUGUAUAUAUAUAUAUAUAUGACUGGAUUGCUAUGCUAUACAGCAGAAAUUGACACAACACUAUAAAUCAACUAUACUCUAAUAAAAUAAAAUAAAAUUUAAAAGUACUUAAACUUA
This 6619-nucleotide long non-coding RNA is filed under the name Sus scrofa (pig). Its description in RNAcentral is "lncRNA (ENSSSCG00035063570.1)". Lineage: Eukaryota; Metazoa; Chordata; Mammalia; Artiodactyla; Suidae. The record is from RNAcentral.